This 458-nucleotide long non-coding RNA is filed under the name Salvia miltiorrhiza (redroot sage). RNAcentral describes it as "long non-coding RNA (SMIL_LNC003915)". The record is from RNAcentral. Lineage: Eukaryota; Viridiplantae; Streptophyta; Magnoliopsida; Lamiales; Lamiaceae.
CGGGUACCCUAAAUUACCCGGUCAAAAUUACAGUUUUCAGGUCAAAUUGUGAAAUCGGGUAUUUUCGGGUAUUAGGGUACCCGAAUACCCGAAAAUACCCGAUUUUAUUAAAAAAAAAAUGAAAAUGUAACUGCGUACGAAAGUGUAACUGAGCACAAAAAAAACAAAGAAGAAGAAGAAGAAGCGGCGUCUGCUGGGAGCUCGGAGGCGGCGCGGCUGCUGGGACGAUGGAGGCAACUACGUGGCUAUCUGGGUCGACGACUCGCGACGCGACGGCGGCAGGCUGCAGCUGCGUGGCUGGGAAGCGGGCGGGACUCGGACCUGGCUGGGGACGACUCGCGAGAGGCCGCCGCUGGGUCGUGGCAGCCGACAGGUGGCGGGUGGGACGACGGAGGCCGGCACCGGCGCACCGCGCGAGGAGGCUGGGGGAUUAGGGCGGCCGGGAGUUCAGCAGCUGC